AAUUAUAGUAAAUGGCACAGGCUCCCCAAACUUAUUUAGCACAUAGUCUUUCUGAGAUAUUCCAAAUCAUAUCUGUCAUAAAUUUUCCCUGUUUAACAGGACCAGAGCACAUGCCACCACAUAUAGAAAGACAAAGUCCCUAUUCAGAUGAGCCACUGCAGGUUCUAUACAAGUCCCGAUUAAAAGCUAAACACAAAAAUGGGGAAAAAAUUGUUGUAUUACUCUUUGGGUCAGUGGAACACCCACAAAAAUUUGUCUUAUUUAAAUUAAUUGGGAUUAUAAGUACUUCAAGGGAAUGAUAAAUUUUAUGCAUAAGGAACAGAAGCAGUAUGUGUGAGAGAGAUCUUGGUUUUCAUAUUCUGCCACAAGUCACCACCCAUUCUUCAUACCAGGUUUAUGGCUGUAUCUUUUCUGCUUGUCUACACCCUAUUUCAUCUCACAUAAAAGACUGCUUUGGUUCUGACAAGUCAUUUAAAGGGUUCCUAAGGCAAGUUAAACUGAAAUUGGGAGUGACUUGGGAGAUACUGAAUUUUUAAAAAAGUAUUUAUAGAUGUAGUUGGACACAACGCCUUUGUUUUAUUUAUUUAUUGUUAUGUGGUGGUAAGGUUUGAACCCAGUGCCUCACUGGGCAAGCACUCUACCACUGAUCUACAAACUCAGCCCAUUUUACUGCAUUUUAAAAUAAUUUUCAAUUUACAGGUAAGAAAUGUAACAGGUUCAAGGGAAGUUUCAAUACAUGUAUUAUUAUAUAAUACAAUUAGUAAUUCACAAAACUUUUCCCUCAAAUAUUUUGCAUCAUUAUGGGGAAAACAUUGAGUAUUUCUUCUCAUCUUUGAAUGCACUACACAUUAAUAUAGUCACCCAACUGUGCAAUUGGACCAUACAAACCCAGAACUUAUUUUUUCCAUGAAAUUGUUUAUGAACCCAUCUUUUGUUUUCAACCCAUAACCAGAGUGGGACCCAUGAAUCAAGUUCAUACAUUUUAUACAAAAGAUCAGUCACUGCAGAUGGCUUCCUCUUUCUUCCAUUGGCAUGUGUUCCUCUCCUAGGCACCAUGGCAUAAGUGCCCAUUCAUCAGCAAGUCACCACAGUAUGGUUGACAUGGGAAGUUCACAUUCCUUUUUAAAAAUUGAGAUGCAUGUGGUGUGUUUCAUUUACUUGCCCCACUAUAAUUGUGUAGUAUAACAUGAGCCACUAACUUCCUAAAACACACACACUCACUAGCACAUUAUAUUUACAUCUCCCCUUAAUUUUCCUUGUUUUCAUGAAGGAGAUUCAGUUUCCCAAAUGAACCAGAAAAUAACUGUUUCAAUAUGGUAAGUUUUGAGCCCAGUUAUCUGUGAGAAUCUUAUAAUCAUUCACCUUGAAUAGAAAAGGGAGACUGCUAAACAGGUGGGACAGG
Molecule: long non-coding RNA, 1402 nt
Filed under: Marmota monax (woodchuck)
Lineage: Eukaryota; Metazoa; Chordata; Mammalia; Rodentia; Sciuridae
Source: RNAcentral